UCUAUAAUAGAAGAGAAGCUCAAGAUUUCAACAUUUUCUGAAGGGAGUUGCAGACAGGUGUAGAAAACUGCUUUUCAAAUUUUCCACAUUUAUCACAGUUAUUUUAAGAUGUUGACAUCUAAACGUGAGUAGCAUUGUGUGAGCAAUAUUAAAUAAGUAAAUCUUACACUGCAUAUUUUAUAUAUUGUUUUCUCUGUGACAGAUUGAAUGUUAUGUUUGUAGAUUUGUCCAUGCUAAUGGCCGAGCAGUAGGGUUGGAACAGACCUGUCAGAAAACAUCUCUGAACCAUAUGACUAAUUUCAAAACAAUUUAUUCUUGAGAGGAGGCACCACAGUUAAAGACAGUGUUUUGAAGAAUUUUGAACUUCCUGCUCACAAACUACAUACUUCUCCAGUUAGUCUGACAGGCUAUCAAUGAGAAUGCGGCAUUACAGGACACCACUGAAAACUAUACCACUAAAAACUGAUUAUUGCUGCAGUCAGAAGAAACAGAUUAACAGCAACUAUCUGCUUGAGACCAAGAGAUUGAGCACUGGGUUAAGACAUGGUUGCAGCUUGCCACAGACAGAGAUGAAGGUCGUUGGGCAAAAGAGAAGAUUUAAAGGCAUAGCUCACCCAAAAAUGGAAACUCAUUUACUUACCAUCAAGAUGUUUCAAACUAUCAAAUGUAUUUGUUCAGUUACUGACUGUUAUAAAUUAUACAGGUUUGGAACAACCUUUGGGUGAGCAAAAUUACAGUUUUAAUUUUAAUUAGUGAACUAUCCCUAUUGUGAGUUUUAUAAGUUUAUUAAGAAAUGUUGAGUAUUAUAUCAGAGUUUUGUAUGUAAGGAGAUGGUAGUUGUACGUUUGUGUGUUAAUAUAGAUGGUUUCAGUGGCAACAACAUAAAUCACUUUCAUGGCCCAAACUUAACUUCGGGUAGACCUCCACAUAGAUUCAAUAACAACCGAGUAUCUCUGGAGCAGUUUUUUUUCUGAUAACAAACAAAAUAAAUAACCAGUAAAUAGCCUUAGAUCAAAUCAUAGCUAAAGCAUUUCAACCAUUACAUUGAUCUAAUGUUACUGGGUAAAAUUAAGCUUUACAAUUUUAGCUACAGAUCUUUGAAAAUGUUUGUACGGUAUACUGUCCAUUUCCAGAAAGGUAAUAAAAACAGCGUGCACAGUGACGCUGCUGACGUGUUAUCCUCAGACAUGUUUGUGAAGAUUGUUUUGUUUAUAGCGUGCGUCUCCCUCAGACUGUAAAAAAAGCUUGGGAACAAGAAAAAGCUUGGGCAAACAAGAUAACAUGUCAGCAGCGUCACUCCAGUGUUGUGCACGAGGUUCACAACAGACCUGGAAGAGAAGACGAUGCUGAAUAAAGUCAUAAUUUCUGUUAUUUUUGGACCAAAAUUUAUUUUCGAUGCUUCAACACAUUCUAACUGACCCACUGAUAUCACAUGGACUACUUUGAUGAUGUACAGUAUAUAUUUGAUCGUGUAUACACAUAUCUAAAACAUCUUAAACUGUUUCCGAAGAUGAACGGAGGUGUUACGGGUUUGGAAUGACAUGAGGGUCAUUAAUUACAUAAUUUUCAUUUUGGAUGAAAUAACCCUUUAAGUUUGGCCAGGUGUGUAACUGUGGCAACGCACAUGCAUCUAUGGGUUCCAGUAUAUCUUACUAUAUAACAUAUUAAUUUAACUAACAUGUUUGACAAAUAUAAUUGUUUA
Molecule: non-coding RNA, 1702 nt
Organism: Paramisgurnus dabryanus
Lineage: Eukaryota; Metazoa; Chordata; Actinopteri; Cypriniformes; Cobitidae
Source: RefSeq, a predicted model, not a curated record